GAUGAACGCUGGCGGCGUGCCUAAUACAUGCAAGUCGAGCGAACAGACGAGGAGCUUGCUCCUCUGACGUUAGCGGCGGACGGGUGAGUAACACGUGGAUAACCUACCUAUAAGACUGGGAUAACUUCGGGAAACCGGAGCUAAUACCGGAUAACAUGUUUAACCGCAUGGUUCAACAGUGAAAGACGGUUUUGCUGUCACUUAUAGAUGGAUCCGCGUCGCAUUAGCUAGUUGGUAAGGUAACGGCUUACCAAGGCAACGAUGCGUAGCCGACCUGAGAGGGUGAUCGGCCACACUGGAACUGAGACACGGUCCAGACUCCUACGGGAGGCAGCAGUAGGGAAUCUUCCGCAAUGGGCGAAAGCCUGACGGAGCAACGCCGCGUGAGUGAAGAAGGUCUUCGGAUCGUAAAACUCUGUUAUUAGGGAAGAACAAAUGUGUAAGUAACUAUGCACGUCUUGACGGUACCUAAUCAGAAAGCCACGGCUAACUACGUG
Molecule: ribosomal RNA, 497 nt
Filed under: uncultured bacterium
Lineage: Bacteria
Description: partial 16S ribosomal RNA
Rfam family: Bacterial small subunit ribosomal RNA
Source: RNAcentral